Molecule: ribosomal RNA, 460 nt
Filed under: uncultured bacterium
Lineage: Bacteria
Description: partial 16S ribosomal RNA
Rfam family: Bacterial small subunit ribosomal RNA
Source: RNAcentral
CCUACGGGUGGCAGCAGUGAGGAAUCUUGGUCAAUUGGCGCGAGCCUGAACCAGCCAAGUAGCGUGAAGGAUGACUGCCCUACGGGUUGUAAACUUCUUUUUUAAAGGAAUAUAGUGAGGCACGUGUUCCUUUUUGUAUGUACUUUAUGAAUAAGGAUCGGCUAACUCCGUGCCAGCAGCCGCGGUAAUACGGAGGAUCCGAGCGUUAUCCGGAUUUAUUGGGUUUAAAGGUAGCGUAGAUGGGUUGUUAAGUCAGAUGUGAAAGUUUGCGGCUCAACAGUAAAAUUGAAAGUGAUACUGGCAGUCUUGAGUACAGUUGAGGUAGGCGGAAUUCGUGGUGUAGCGGUGAAAUGCUUAGAUAGCACGAAGAACUCCGAUUGCGAAGGCAGCUUACUAAACUGCCACUGACAUUGAUGCUCGAAAGUGUGGGUAGCAAACAGGAUUAGAUACCCGAGUAGUC